GAGGAAAAGAAACUAACAAGGAUUCCCCUAGUAACGGCGAGUGAACCGGGAAGAGCUCAAAUUUGAAAUCUGGCGUCCUCAGGGCGUCCGAGUUGUAAUCUAUAGAGGCGUUUUCCGUGCCGGACCGUGUCCAAGUUCCUUGGAACAGGAUAUCAAAGAGGGUGACAAUCCCGUACUUGACACGACGACCGGUGCUCUGUGAUACGUCUUCUACGAGUCGAGUUGUUUGGGAAUGCAGCUCAAAAUGGGUGGUGAGUUCCAUCUAAAGCUAAAUAUUGGCGAGAGACCGAUAGCGAACAAGUACCGUGAGGGAAAGAUGAAAAGCACUUUGGAAAGAGAGUUAAACAGUACGUGAAAUUGUUGAAAGGGAAACGAUUGAAGUCAGUCGUGACCGAGAGGCUCAGCCGGUUCUGCCGGUGUAUUCCCCUCGGUCGGGUCAACAUCAGUUUUGUCCGGUGGAUAAGGGCGGUAGGAAGGUGGCACCCUCGGGUGUGUUAUAGCCUGCCGUCGCAUACAUCGGGUGAGACUGAGGAACGCAGCUCGCCUUUAUGGCCGGGGUUCGCCCACGUCCGAGCUUAGGAUGUUGACAUAAUGGCUUUAAACGACCCGU
Molecule: ribosomal RNA, 610 nt
Filed under: Papiliotrema laurentii
Lineage: Eukaryota; Fungi; Basidiomycota; Tremellomycetes; Tremellales; Rhynchogastremaceae
Description: eukaryotic LSU rRNA
Rfam family: Eukaryotic large subunit ribosomal RNA
Source: RNAcentral